Molecule: long non-coding RNA, 402 nt
Organism: Tarenaya hassleriana
Lineage: Eukaryota; Viridiplantae; Streptophyta; Magnoliopsida; Brassicales; Cleomaceae
Exons: 2
Source: RefSeq, a predicted model, not a curated record
ACCCUCGAUUAUAAGAAAAAAAAUGCGUGGAAAAAGGACCUGAUACAUAUGCGAUUGAAGAGAAAAUGUUUUGGAAAAUUUUGGAAUAAAAAAAGAGACGGGAGCGAUCAUAUACCAGAUCGAAGGAGAGUAACAGAAUGUUAGAAUAAUCUUGUAAUAAAAAUGGAUUUUUUUUUUGACAAAAUAAAAUGGAUGUUUUGCUUUUCAUUAUUUUAUUUGGUCAAUGUUAUACAUAUUAUCUAGCCUUAUAUUUGGUAAAAUGAUGGGAUACAUGUCAUCUUUGUAGGUUUAGCCGAUCUUUUUUUUCUUAUAUAAAAAGACCAGGAGGACGCUCUUGGAGAUAAAUGAAACGGAAGUGAAUAUCUGUCAUCAAUUUUAAUGUAUAUAAUUUUAUCUUUUUAA